This 484-nucleotide ribosomal RNA is filed under the name uncultured bacterium. RNAcentral's name for it is "partial 16S ribosomal RNA". It matches the Rfam family "Bacterial small subunit ribosomal RNA", at positions 30 to 507 of the family's 1533-position model. The record is from RNAcentral.
AUUGAACGCUGGCGGCAGGCCUAACACAUGCAAGUCGAGCGGAUGAAUGGAGCUUUCUCCUGGAUUCAGCGGCGGACGGGUGAGUAAUGCCUAGGAAUCUGCCUGGUCUUGGGGGAUAACGUCCGUAAACGGGCGCUAAUACCGCAUACGUCCUGAUUGAGAAAGUGGGGGUUCUUCGGACCUCACGCUAUCAGCUGAGCCUAGGUCGGAUUAGCUAGUUGGUUGGGUAAAGGCCUACCAAGGCGACGAUCCGUAACUGGUCUGAGAGGAUGAUCAGUCACACUGGAACUGAGACACGGUCCAGACUCCUACGGGAGGCAGCAGUGGGGAAUAUUGGGCAAUGGGCGAAAGCCUGAUGCAGCCAUGCCGCGUGUGUGAAGAAGGUCUUCGGAUUGUAAAGCACUUUAAGUUGGGAGGAAGGGCAGUAAGUUAAUACCUUGCUGUUUUGACGUUACCAACAGAAUAAGCACCGGCUAACUUCGUG